GUGAAUCAUCGAAUUUUUGAACGCAAAUGGCGCUUCUUGGCAUUCCGGGAAGUAUGCCUGUUUGAGGGUCAGUAUUAAUAAAAAAUCGGUUAAGUUACAAAUUGUGAAGGUUCCGGAGAUUGGGCUAUCUUAAAAUUUUUGGGUGAGAGGCUUAAAAUUGACCUUUUUUGCGCAUUUUUAAAAGUACAUAUAUUUUUUUUUAAUCGUCUAUUCAUAAUGCCA
This 222-nucleotide unclassified non-coding RNA is filed under the name Glomeraceae sp. RNAcentral describes it as "partial contains 5.8S ribosomal RNA and internal transcribed spacer 2". The stretch from base 1 to 71 matches the Rfam family "5.8S ribosomal RNA", at positions 84 to 154 of the family's 154-position model. Lineage: Eukaryota; Fungi; Glomeromycota; Glomeromycetes; Glomerales; Glomeraceae. The record is from RNAcentral.